UACGAAGGGGGCUAGCGUUGCUCGGAAUCACUGGGCGUAAAGCGCACGUAGGUGGCGCGCUAAGUCAGGUGUGAAAUCUCGGGGCUUAACUCCGAAACUGCAUUUGAUACUGGCGUGCUUGAGGACUGGAGAGGAGACUGGAAUUUACGGUGUAGCAGUGAAAUGCGUAGAGAUCGUAAGGGAGACCAGUGGCGAAGGCGGGUCUCUGGACAGUUCCUGACACUGAGGCACGAAGGCCAGGGGAGCAAACGGG
This 253-nucleotide ribosomal RNA is filed under the name uncultured bacterium. RNAcentral describes it as "partial 16S ribosomal RNA". It matches the Rfam family "Bacterial small subunit ribosomal RNA", at positions 524 to 776 of the family's 1533-position model. The record is from RNAcentral.